UAUACGAUGAAGAGUUUGAUCCUGGCUCAGGAUGAACGCUAGCGGCAGGCCUAACACAUGCAAGUCGAGGGGUAGAAGUUACUUGUAACUUUGAGACCGGCGCACGGGUGCGUAACGCGUAUGCAACCUACCUUUUACAGGGGAAUAGCCCAGAGAAAUUUG
Molecule: ribosomal RNA, 162 nt
Filed under: Flavobacterium silvisoli
Lineage: Bacteria; Pseudomonadati; Bacteroidota; Flavobacteriia; Flavobacteriales; Flavobacteriaceae
Description: Flavobacterium sp. RD-2-33 partial 16S ribosomal RNA
Rfam family: Bacterial small subunit ribosomal RNA
Source: RNAcentral